RNAcentral lists this long non-coding RNA (221 nucleotides) under Panax ginseng (ginseng). RNAcentral describes it as "long non-coding RNA (PGIN_LNC000549)". Lineage: Eukaryota; Viridiplantae; Streptophyta; Magnoliopsida; Apiales; Araliaceae. The record is from RNAcentral.
AUCAUUCAUUUUAUAUAUUUUAUUUUUUUAUAAAUAAAAAAAAGUAUACGUUUUAGUCAUGGCAACGAACGGAAGGAGUACUGUAUAUAUUAGAACUUUCAAAUUAUUUAGAAUCGUAUGAAAAGGUGAGACGAUAUAUGUAUAGUGUUCAAUGCGGUCAGACAGAAGUCAAAAGGCGCGUUCAGUUCAUACGCGCUACGUUGGAAAUAUUUUACGAUCCG